UGGCUCAGUGGGUAAGAGCACUGACUGCUCUUCCAGAGGUCCUGAGUUCAAAUCUCAG
Rattus norvegicus (Norway rat) is the source of this 58-nucleotide non-coding RNA. NCBI's taxonomy places the organism in Eukaryota, Metazoa, Chordata, Mammalia, Rodentia, Muridae. The record is from Rfam.